This is a long non-coding RNA of Capsicum annuum, 2108 nucleotides long. RefSeq lists it as uncharacterized. The transcript has 4 exons. The record is from RefSeq and is a predicted model, not a curated record. Lineage: Eukaryota; Viridiplantae; Streptophyta; Magnoliopsida; Solanales; Solanaceae.
GUGUAUCUUCAUGGCUUGCUUUCAUUGUGCUCUCACAAGAAAAUUAUAUCGUAUUCUACUCUUUUGAUUAUUUUUUUCCUCAGCUCUCACUUACGGUUUUUAUUCUUCGUCUUUUUUUUUCUUUCCAUUUUUGGUGGGUUUCAUAAGUGAUGUUUUGAUUUCCUCUAUUUCUUUACUUGUAUCUAUGUUUUAAUCUAAGUAAAAUUUUAGGAGAUUAUUUUUUUUAUUUGACUGAAUUUUUCUUUGUGCAUGUGUUAGCUUUGUCGAGAUGGAUGGCUUUCUUUUGCUCUUCUUUCUUUUCCUCUAUAAAUAAAUGUCCUCUUUUGUUCUGAUUUCGCUUUGCUUAGUUCAUUUUUUUUUUCCUUUUCUUUCUUUUCAUUUUUUUUAUUUCUUCAACUUUUAUUUCUUAUAGCUAUAUUAUAUGAGUCUGAGUAAAAAUUUUAAAAAAAUUUAGGAGUUGAUAUUUUAUGAUUUUGACCGAAUAUUUUCCUGUGCAUGUGUUGCCUAUGUCCUGAGAAUAAUUGAUGGGAAUAAUUGAAGAAGAUAUUUCGAAGUUUUUCUUUUAGAAAUUCAGAUAUGGUAUUUUAAUAUUUUUGCUUUUACUCUUCUUUCUUUUUAUUUUUUAGCCUCUAUUUUGGCACCACAUGCCUAUCUUUUCUUAUUUUUUACCUGCAAUUAUAUGCCUCAUUUUAUUCUGAUUUUGCUUUGAUUUAUUUGGUCUAGCAAGUUGAUAGAAUUUCUCACUGUGUUUUAAGUUCUCUGUUUUGUACUUUUAUUAUUUCACUUACUUAUUGCUAAUUGAAUAUUGAUGGAUAUUUAAUUACAUAAUGUAUUAAGUUUUUCAGGAUUCUAAAAGUCAAAUUUUUUCUAUGUGCUGAAAAUUACCUCUUCGUGAUGAAAAAACAUCAACACUUUUUCUAUAAAAGUUGCAGUGUAAUGGUUGCAAAAUUACUAUUUCACAUGUUUUUGAAAGUGGGAGUUACGCAAGAUGAAGAAAAAAAAACUGUUUGUAUUCAUUUCAUAUAGAGAAUGACUUUUUUGGUGAUGAGUUGGUGCGCUGUUGGAAGACAUGAGGAGCUCUUAAUGUGGAGUCAGACGCAAAGGUUUUCACAACCAUCCCACCUGUUUUUUGUCAAAUUGAAAAUUUUGCUAUGGAGGAAAAAUAUCUGAGAACAAUAUCAUCACUAAUUUAUAUUUGUGAAGCUCUUUGAUAAGCAUGUAUUAAGGUUGUGGCUUCAUUGAUUCAAGGAGGCCAGAAAACCUAAUUAUUAAUUCACAUAAUCCCCCAGAAUCCUUGAGAAAGAUGGGUAGGUCCAUUCAGAAGAGGACUUAAAAUACUAAAGCCAGGGCUUAUACUUUGAUCUUCAAAGUCUAUAGCAUCUUCUUCCUAGAUUUGCUCCUGUAUGCUUGACUGAAGGUUGUGUUUCUUGUUUAUACUUGAACUGGAAAAAAGGAAAACAAUAACAAUAAGGUUGUUGGCUUGGAAAGCUUAAACAGAAACUUUGCAGAACUUGCUGUAAGCUUUGCAUUCAGAGGUUAAUGUGAUGAUCAGAAUAAAUUGCCUUUCUGAUUUUGAGUUCAUGAUCAAGUUAAUUAGAUAACAGAAUCAUGAGACUUGUUCGCAUUUUGUUUGUGAUCUCAUUCUGAUAUUUCAUGGAAUUGUAUAUUGCAAAAAUCACAGAAGAGGGUGUAACAAUUUCUCAACCACAUUUAUUGAAGACUUUCUGAAGCUUCUAUGCUUUCCAGAAUGCAACUGCUGGUGCAUGAGGGUUCAUGGUAAUAACUGGUUGAUGCAUUGACUUGUUUUGAUGAACGAAAUACACAGACAUCGUGUGUCAUAGAUUUUUGAAAUCAUUACAGCUUCAUGAAAACGAUGUUUGUCAGAUGCUGUAUAAAGAUUUCUGGAAUUUCUUGGUUGUUUUUUUAUGUAAACUAUAAGGACAUACCAUCUUAUGCUUCACGUUUUCCUUCAUUAUGUAGGAGUUUGUCUUCCAAAAAUUUUGUACUGUUUUGUGAUGUAUUUCAGAUCUUUUUGUAUGCCAUGGCUUUAUCUCAGUUAUAGAUCACUUUGUAGUUUCGUCAGUUUGAUAUAUUUGCUAAGUUCAUGA